This 253-nucleotide ribosomal RNA is filed under the name uncultured Flavobacterium sp. RNAcentral's name for it is "partial 16S ribosomal RNA". It matches the Rfam family "Bacterial small subunit ribosomal RNA", at positions 524 to 776 of the family's 1533-position model. Lineage: Bacteria; Pseudomonadati; Bacteroidota; Flavobacteriia; Flavobacteriales; Flavobacteriaceae. The record is from RNAcentral.
UACGGAGGAUCCAAGCGUUAUCCGGAAUCAUUGGGUUUAAAGGGUCCGUAGGCGGACCUGUAAGUCAGUGGUGAAAUCUCCCCGCUCAACGGGGAAACUGCCAUUGAUACUGCAGGUCUUGAAUUAUUGGGAAGUAACUAGAAUAUGUAGUGUAGCGGUGAAAUGCUUAGAUAUUACAUGGAAUACCGAUUGCGAAGGCAGGUUACUAUCAAUACAUUGACGCUGAUGGACGAAAGCGUGGGGAGCGAACAGG